CAGAGAAGUGACGCACGCUCUCAAACAAACUUCCCCGUGCUGCCUGAGGCCCCGCCCCUCCCCUCCUCCUCGGUACUACAGAGGCAAACUUUCUCUGUCUCACCUUUACUUCACCUCAUGUAGCGACACUGACCAGCGCGUAAAGGACGGAGGGCGUUAAUCCAGCUCAGACUGAAGUUUAGAGAUGAGAACAACAUAAAAAAAAAAUGUUUUAAAAAAAACUACAACACCAAAAAAAAAUCUUCUCUCCAAGCCUGCGCCAUCAUGAAGCUGCGCGUCACCGUCUCUGUGUGGACCCUGCUGGUCCUCUGCGCUCUCACAGAAUCCAAAGAACAGUGUAAUGUAACCUGUGAAAGAGAAAGUUUGCCUUCAGUAACAACAACAACAACCAGCAUCACUUUUCCUCCUCAAGCAAACUGUACCGUAUCAGUCAGAAAUAAGACGUCUGAAAGCCAUUCAACAGUUGAUCUCACCCCUGGAACCGUUUAUCAAUUAUUCUUUCAAUGCUUUAACUGUUGCCUGAAUGUUGCCACCAAACCUGAAGCUGUUACUUCUUUAAAGGCUUCUUCUACAACGUCUUCCAUACUUGUUUGGUGGACUGAACCAGAGGGAAACUGGCUUUACUACAGCGUGAGCUGGAGCAAUGGAACCAGUAUGAAGUCUGACACAGUAGAACACGCCUCUAAAAACAUCACAGACCUGACGGCUGGUAUCGGGUAUGAUAUCAACGUUACUGCGAUGGCUGAUGAUGGAGUUACUGAAGGAGAAUCUGCUCAUUUGCUUUGGUACACAAGUAAGUAAGUCAUCGUUAGUUAGUGUUGUUGUGCUCAACACCACGCUAUCCAAGACCAAGACUUGCCCAAGACCAGAAUGCACCGAGACCAAGACAAGACC
Molecule: long non-coding RNA, 894 nt
Filed under: Gouania willdenowi (blunt-snouted clingfish)
Lineage: Eukaryota; Metazoa; Chordata; Actinopteri; Blenniiformes; Gobiesocidae
Description: lncRNA (ENSGWIG00000014843.1)
Source: RNAcentral